This is a long non-coding RNA of Nannospalax galili (Upper Galilee mountains blind mole rat), 290 nucleotides long. RefSeq lists it as uncharacterized. The record is from RefSeq and is a predicted model, not a curated record. Lineage: Eukaryota; Metazoa; Chordata; Mammalia; Rodentia; Spalacidae. The transcript is spliced from 2 exons.
AUCAUGGAUAGGAAAUGAGGACAACAAGGAUUUUUUUUUAUCCUUGCGGGUAAAGCUCCAGGCAGAGGCCAUUUAAGCUCUUUGGAGGCUUCGGCAUGGUGGUGCUCUCAUGAAAUCCCAGGAUGCUGAAGGUGGAGGCAGGAGGAUCAGGAAUUCAAGGCCAGCUUUGGCUACACAGUUUUCAGCCAAGAGCACAGCAGACAUACUCUGAUACAGUAGUGUAUAUUUUAAAAUAUGUAAAACCAACAAUGUAGCCAUUUUAGCAACAAUAAAUCACUCUUUUUAAAAUA